Molecule: ribosomal RNA, 2013 nt
Filed under: Triticum aestivum (bread wheat)
Lineage: Eukaryota; Viridiplantae; Streptophyta; Magnoliopsida; Poales; Poaceae
Description: partial small subunit ribosomal RNA
Source: RNAcentral
AUGGAGGGGGCAAAGAAGCAGGUUUUCACGAUCAAGGUGGAGGAUGGGAAGCCCGGGAAGGACGGCCGGCCGGCGGUGGGGCCGGUGUUCCGGAACAUACUGGCCAAGGAUGGGUUCCCGCCGCUUGAUCCUGACAUGAGGACCUCAUGGGAUGUGUUCAGAACGGCAGCAGGCAAGUAUCCAGACAACCGGAUGCUUGGAUGGCGUCCAUUUAAAGACGGAGUGCCAGGGCCCUACUUAUGGAAAUCAUACAAGGAGGUCUAUGAGGAAGUCCUGCAAAUUGGAUCUGCGCUGCAGCAGCUGGGGGUGCAACCAGGUUCCAGGGUUGGAAUUUAUGGAUCCAACUGCCCUCAAUGGGUGGUAGCAAUGCAGGCUUGCAAUGGUUACAGCAUAAUAUGUGUCCCACUGUACGAUACUUUAGGUGCUGGAGCUGUUGAUUACAUUAUUGACCAUGCUGAGAUUGAUGUUGUCUUCAUACAAGACAAGAAAAUAAAAGAAAUACUGUCCCCAAAUUGCACAUCUGCGACUAGGCUAAAAGCAUUGGUGGCAUUCACCUCGGCAACUAAUGAACAAAUCAAAGAUGCCGAGCAGAUUGGGAUGAAAGUGUACUCCUGGAAUGAUUUCUUAAAAAUGGGAAAGGAUAAACCAGUUAAACCUCGUCCUCCGCAACCAAAUGAUACAUGCACCAUCAUGUACACAAGUGGAACAAGUGGGCAACCCAAAGGUGUUAUGCUGAGCCAUGAGAGCCAUGGGAUGUAUGUAAAAGGGGUGGACCUCUUCAUGGACCAGUUUGAGGAUAAGAUGUCAACGGAGGAUGUGUUUCUUUCUUUUCUCCCACUUGCUCACAUUCUCGACCGCAUGAUCGAAGAGUAUUUCUUCCACAAAGGAGCCUCAGUUGGCUAUUACCAUGGAGAUUUGAAUGCCUUGAGAGAUGAUCUCAUGGAGUUAAAACCAACUCUACUAGUUGGGGUGCCCAGAGUGUAUGAAAAGAUUUAUGAAGGUAUUUUAAAGGCCUUGGCAGAUCUCAGACCUCUCAGGAGGGUGAUUUUUAAUGCUUUGUAUAACCGCAAACUAGCAAGCAUGAAAGCAGGCUACACACAAAAAACUGCUUCACCUUUCGCUGACAUGCUGGCUUUUCGCAAGGUCAAGGCAAGGCUCGGUGGCCGUCUUCGCCUACUAAUCUCCGGUGGUGCACCCUUAAGUACUGAAAUUGAAGAGUUCUUGAGAGUGACCAGCUGCGCAUACUUUAUCCAAGGCUAUGGUUUAACGGAAACAUUGGGACCUAGCACAGUCGGUUACCCUGAUGAUAUGUCCCUGGUUGGAACUGCCGGUGUUGCCGCCACCUUCACUGAACUGCGACUGGAAGAAGUACCUGAGAUGGGUUAUGAUCCACUUGGUGUUCCUUCUCGUGGUGAAAUCCUCAUUAGAGGGUCCACUGUCUUCACUGGGUACUACAAAAAUCCUGAGCUCACAAACGAGGUCAUGGUUGAUGGAUGGUUUCAUACAGGAGAUAUUGGAGAGAUGAGCCCAGAUGGAAUCCUGAAGGUUAUUGACCGAAAGAAGAACAUAUUUAAGCUAUCACAAGGGGAGUAUGUCGCAGUUGAGUAUCUGGAGAAAGUAUAUGUCUUCCCUCCAAUUAUUGAAGAUAUCUGGGUGUACGGGGACAGCUACAAAUCAAUGUUAGUGGCAGUAGUUAACCCACAUGAAGAAAACACCAUGAAGUGGGCAGGGUCAAAUGGCUACAAAGGUUCUUUCAGUGAAAUAUGCAAAUCUGAAGGCCUUAAAGAGCAUGUCCUUAAAGAGCUCGCAGCGGCUGCACAGAAGAACAAGCUACGAGGUUUUGAGUACAUCAAAGGCGUAGUGUUGGAUCCUGUACCUUUUGACAUUGAAAGGGAUUUGGUCACUGCAACAAUGAAGAAGAGAAGAAACUACAUGCUAAAAUAUUAUCAGCCUGAGAUUGACAAAGUAUACAAAACAUUGGAGGGUCAGAGGGCUGCGAACAAAGCAAAGUAA